This 490-nucleotide ribosomal RNA is filed under the name uncultured bacterium. RNAcentral describes it as "partial 16S ribosomal RNA". It matches the Rfam family "Bacterial small subunit ribosomal RNA", at positions 30 to 507 of the family's 1533-position model. The record is from RNAcentral.
AUUGAACGCUGGCGGCAGGCCUAACACAUGCAAGUCGAACGGUAACAGGAAGCAGCUUGCUGCUUCGCUGACGAGUGGCGGACGGGUGAGUAAUGUCUGGGAAACUGCCUGAUGGAGGGGGAUAACUACUGGAAACGGUAGCUAAUACCGCAUAACGUCGCAAGACCAAAGAGGGGGACCUUAGGGCCUCUUGCCAUCGGAUGUGCCCAGAUGGGAUUAGCUAGUAGGUGGGGUAACGGCUCACCUAGGCGACGAUCCCUAGCUGGUCUGAGAGGAUGACCAGCCACACUGGAACUGAGACACGGUCCAGACUCCUACGGGAGGCAGCAGUGGGGAAUAUUGCACAAUGGGCGCAAGCCUGAUGCAGCCAUGCCGCGUGUAUGAAGAAGGCCUUCGGGUUGUAAAGUACUUUCAGCGGGGAGGAAGGGAGUAAAGUUAAUACCUUUGCUGAUUGACGUUACCCGCAGAAGAAGCGCCGGCUAACUCCGUG